CGCACGGGUGAGUAAUGCAUAGGUAACGUGCCCCUUAGUCUGGAUAGCCACUGGAAACGGUGAAUAAUACCGGAUACUCCUUCUCACUUAAUGUGAGUCGGGAAAGUUUUUCGCUAAGGGAUCGGCCUAUGUCCUAUCAGGUAGUUGGUGAGGUAAGAGCUCACCAAGCCUAUGACGGGUAGCGGGUCUGAGAGGAUGAUCCGCCACACUGGUACUGAGACACGGACCAG
RNAcentral lists this ribosomal RNA (230 nucleotides) under uncultured bacterium. Its description in RNAcentral is "partial 16S ribosomal RNA". It matches the Rfam family "Bacterial small subunit ribosomal RNA", at positions 99 to 334 of the family's 1533-position model. The record is from RNAcentral.